GACGAACGCUGGCGGCGUGCUUAACACAUGCAAGUCGAACGGAAAGGCCCUGCUUUUGUGGGGUGCUCGAGUGGCGAACGGGUGAGUAACACGUGAGUAACCUGCCCUUGACUUUGGGAUAACUUCAGGAAACUGGGGCUAAUACCGGAUAGGAGCUCCUGCUGCAUGGUGGGGGUUGGAAAGUUUCGGCGGUUGGGGAUGGACUCGCGGCUUGUCAGCUUGUUGGUGGGGUAGUGGCUUACCAAGGCUUUGACGGGUAGCCGGCCUGAGAGGGUGACCGGCCAGAUUGGGACUGAGAUACGGCCCAGACUCCUACGGGAGGCAGCAGUGGGGAAUAUUGCACAAUGGGCGGAAGCCUGAUGCAGCAACGCCGCGUGCGGGAUGACGGCCUUCGGGUUGUAAACCGCGUUCGCCUGUGACGAAGCGUGAGUGACGGUAAUGGGUAAAGAAGCACCGGCUAACUACGUG
RNAcentral lists this ribosomal RNA (468 nucleotides) under uncultured bacterium. RNAcentral describes it as "partial 16S ribosomal RNA". It matches the Rfam family "Bacterial small subunit ribosomal RNA", at positions 28 to 507 of the family's 1533-position model. The record is from RNAcentral.